GCCGCCGCGGUAAUACGUAGGGGGCAAGCGUUGUCCGGAAUGAUUGGGCGUAAAGGGCGCGUAGGCGGCCUGUUAAGUCUGGAGUGAAAUUCCCGCUUUUAAGGUGGGAACUGCUUUGGAUACUGAUGGGCUUGAGUGCAGGAGAGGUAAGCGGAAUUCCCGGUGUAGCGGUGAAAUGCGUAGAGAUCGGGAGGAACACCAGUGGCGAAGGCGGCUUACUGGACUGUAACUGACGCUGAGGCGCGAAAGUGUGGGGAGCAAACAGGAUUAGAUACCCC
This 278-nucleotide ribosomal RNA is filed under the name uncultured Parabacteroides sp. RNAcentral describes it as "partial 16S ribosomal RNA". It matches the Rfam family "Bacterial small subunit ribosomal RNA", at positions 511 to 788 of the family's 1533-position model. The record is from RNAcentral. Lineage: Bacteria; Pseudomonadati; Bacteroidota; Bacteroidia; Bacteroidales; Tannerellaceae.